Molecule: long non-coding RNA, 1104 nt
Organism: Orbicella faveolata
Lineage: Eukaryota; Metazoa; Cnidaria; Anthozoa; Scleractinia; Merulinidae
Source: RefSeq, a predicted model, not a curated record
AUUUCCGACCAAACAUGUUUCCGAAGUUUAUUGUUUUCUAAAUCAAAAAGAAAACAGAAAACCCUUGAUUAUAUUUGCAAUAAGGCGAAAACGCCAGCUGAAAACUGACGUCGACCAUUGACCGCGAUUUGAUCUGAAGCCAACAUGUGAAGUCUGGAGCUUAAAGGUUGAAAAAAUUUAAAAGAUUUAGCGCGCUACACUCUUCAAUAGAGAGAAACAAACGAAAAACCGUGUACAUCGCCGGCCAAAGGAACAAUUCAAUAACCAAAAUUACCGCAGUCAUUAACAGUGACUCGCGCAGUUAAUUAAGACGCCAACGACCGAGAGCUUCUAAGGUAUUAGUCUUAGAUAAAAGAGGCAUUGAAAGAGUAAAGGUUUUGACAAGUGGUUUAAGAACAGGAAGCUUCUACUCUAGAUCGGAGUAAAGCAUCAGUCGUACAAGUCAAACGCGAACAAGCGUAAGAAAGCAUGACGUCAUCUUACAAGUUAGCGUUGUUAUUGAUCAUUCCUUGCGUUCUUCUUUCGAUGUACUCUCAAAAUGUUGAGGGACAGCUUCCCGGAAUUCGCUGGGGAAGAGGUUUUCAAGAAGGCGAUGGUCUUCAAAGAGAAAGCGAGGGAAAACUUUGGAGACUGCUGAAAAAGAGGCUUUAUCGACUUCAACUGGAUGAUACAGCCCAAGACAAGGAGGUAUCGUAGGUCAUCCAGACUACUUGACAAAGUCGUCGAUAGUGAAGGAAAAUGAUAAGGAAUUUACAAAUACGAAAUUUAUUUACAUUUUACCAUUCAUUGAAAUCUCAUCACGAACAGGUUUCGUAUAAAUUUUAGGUAAUUACAGAAUGGAAAUCCUUGUGUUGUUGGACGUCCUGAAUUCAUUCUGUAUUCCUGUUGCUCUCUAUUUAAAUGUAAAAGGUUAAAGUUUCGGUUUAUUGUCUAUAUCAUCCAUAAUAAAUUCAAUGAGUACGUCAGUCAUUAAACAAAAGUACAUCGACCAUUGAUGUAAUCUAAAUUAGAAGCUAUUAGAGAAUAUCCCAGUUCUCAAAUACUAGCCAAUCUAAAUAAAAUAAAAAAUAUGCCAAAGGCCUGUCGUUUUUCUUAUGACUCAAU